CACGGGGGGAGCAAGCGUUGUUCGGAAUCACUGGGCGUAAAGGGCGUGUAGGCGGUCAGGUAAGUGAGAUGUGAAAUGCCCCGGCUCACCCGGGGACCGGCAUCUCAUACUGCUUGGCUUGAGUACGGGAGAGGAUGUGGGAAUUCCUGGUGUAGCGGUGAAAUGCGUAGAUAUCAGGAGGAACACCGAUGGCGAAGGCAGGUCUCUGGGCAUUAACUGACGCUGAGGAGCGAAAGCAUGGGGAGCGAACAGG
RNAcentral lists this ribosomal RNA (253 nucleotides) under uncultured bacterium. Its description in RNAcentral is "partial 16S ribosomal RNA". It matches the Rfam family "Bacterial small subunit ribosomal RNA", at positions 524 to 776 of the family's 1533-position model. The record is from RNAcentral.